Molecule: ribosomal RNA, 207 nt
Filed under: uncultured bacterium
Lineage: Bacteria
Description: partial 16S ribosomal RNA
Rfam family: Bacterial small subunit ribosomal RNA
Source: RNAcentral
CGCGUAGGCGGUCUGAUAAGUCAGUUGUGAAAGCCCGGGGCUCAACCCCGGAAGUGCAAUUGAAACUGUCAGGCUUGAGUAUGGUAGAGGGAAGUGGAAUUCCUGGUGUAGCGGUGAAAUGCGUAGAUAUCAGGAGGAACACCGGUGGCGAAGGCGGCUUCCUGGACCAAUACUGACGCUGAGGCGCGAAGGUGUGGGUAGCAAACA